RNAcentral lists this long non-coding RNA (255 nucleotides) under Capsella rubella. Its description in RNAcentral is "long non-coding RNA (CRUB_LNC000119)". Lineage: Eukaryota; Viridiplantae; Streptophyta; Magnoliopsida; Brassicales; Brassicaceae. The record is from RNAcentral.
UUUGGGGUUAGAAUAUGUUAUAAUACAAUGAAUUUGAUUGAUUACAAGUGCUAGAGAUGCGUGAAGAGUGUUCUGAAGUAUAGAGAAAGACUUGUUAAAAUUGGGUCCCAAAUGGGCUAAGAACUCGAAAACAUUGCGUUGAACCACUAAAUGACAUAUCUAGUGUUGUUUGGGGUUAUAAUAUGUUAGAAUACAAUGAAUUUGAUUGAUUACAAGUGCUAGAGAUGCAUGAAGAGUGUUUUGAAGUAUAGAGAA